UACGAACCGUGCGAACGUUGUUCGGAAUCACUGGGCUUAAAGGGCGCGUAGGCGGGCUGCCAAGUCUGGGGUGAAAUCCCACGGCUCAACCGUGGAACUGCCUCGGAUACUGGCGGCCUCGAGGGGGGUAGGGGCGUGCGGAACUGUGGGUGGAGCGGUGAAAUGCGUUGAUAUCCACAGGAACUCCGGUGGCGAAGGCGGCACGCUGGACCUCUUCUGACGCUGAGGCGCGAAAGCCAGGGGAGCAAACGGG
Molecule: ribosomal RNA, 253 nt
Filed under: uncultured bacterium
Lineage: Bacteria
Description: partial 16S ribosomal RNA
Rfam family: Bacterial small subunit ribosomal RNA
Source: RNAcentral